GCCAGAUUGUCUUCGCAGCAUGCAAGACUCUCCAGCAUUAUUUCUUGGAUUGACUUCUCGGUUUCGACUCCUGCCUGUCCCUGACCACGUCUUAUUGUCUCAGCCCUUGGAUCCUCUGUCAAGUUUCUUCGCUCCGGUGAGAACUUCAGGUUUUGCUGUGUUACUGGCUUCCCGACCUACUGCCUGUCCACGACUAUCCUUCCGUCUGAUCCCUCUGGAGUCAGUCUGCCCCGCUGAUUGUCUGCCUGGAUUUGACAUUGCCUCCGCUUCGACCAGGAGCCCAGCCUGCCCCUCGACAGUGCCGCUGCACUUCACAAAGACUCUCAGGUGUAGUGUGUUUUCUGUGUGCACUCACCUUUCUGCCUGUUGGACCUGUUUCCUGUUGGUCCUCGAUAUUAUACAGAGACUGCUAAAUCAUCCCAGUAUCUUCAGUUACCUGUUUACUGUGAACUGUUACAAUAAAAGUAGCUUCUAAACAACUACCUGCCGUUGUGCUGCACUUGGGUCCUACAUCCACACCCCCGUGACACUGAACACUUAAAUGAUAUCCAAAAACUUACAAAGAAAUGGGGACAUUGAGUCAAGGGGUUAGAACUUUUAUGACCUAGGGGAGGCACAUCUGAUGUGACUGUGUGUGAGGAUUUGGAGCAGCAAAUUAAAGACCAUUAACACAAUGAUAAAAGUAAAAAACGCAAAAACAAAGAUUUGGAACUAAAAGUACUGGACAUGUUCAAAAGUGAAGGCCAACACUAUUUUAUGAAUACAUUAAAGAUUGGGUUUGCAGAGCUAGAAAGCAAUAAGGAGAAGGUGGAGAAAAGAGAGUCACAAACAUGGAAAAUGGGUAAAACAGAAAAGAGAUUCUGCAGCCAAAUCUAGUAUCAGAAAAUGUAGGAAAUUAUCCUUCUCUUUUAGGGAAAGUUAAUAUAUGUGAUUUUGAGUUUGCUGAGGGAGACAAAGCCCACAACAAACCUUUGCCCGAUUCCCCAAAGUAAUGAUCAUAAGUAAUUGUUGUGGGAAUGAUAAUGCUGAUUAUGCUGAAGUCAUAUUGGUUUAAUCUGGGUAACAAUAACAUAGACUUGCCACAUGAACUCUGUCACCCAAUAGUACAAGUAGUAGUAGCACAAAUACUUCACAGCUUAGGUAAGAAGCAGGGCCCACAAAUAUCAUGUGACCCUGCACAAAAUAUGAUCUUAGAUAUAGGCCUAGGUUAUGUUCACCUGAUAAUACAUUGAUAGUAUGUUUUCAAUCUUAAAGGGCACACAGGCUAGCUAUGUGCCGUGGAAAACCACAUACCUUGCUGUGCUGAUUGCCAGACUACCACAAACUGAACAGGGGGCAGGGAGAUGGAUACAAGCUUUUGAGGAUGAACUGUAGGGAAAAUGUUGACUACACCAGACAUGAAAGCACUUUUGGCUUAACUGCUGGGAACCAAGACGAUGGAAGAGUUUCUGCACAAGGCAAAACAAGGUUGGAUGCUGGGAGUGAGUUCAAUGCAUAUUGUGAUGUGAUGUGGAGGGCGCUGCGAGAUGAAGAGUGGAGACUGAAAGAGCAGGAAAAGCACAUUCAGCGGAAGUUGAUACAGCUACAGCUGGGAUCCUUGCAAAGCAGAAACAAAGUACAGAUUCGGGCCACGAUAGUGGCCACCUCUAAGGGGGACACUGCAAAAGAGACCCAGCGAUGCAGACCGUGCAGAUGCUAACUGCAGUAAAGCCUGUGACAGCAACCUGUUUAAUCAUGUGUUGUGAAUGUUUAUCCUCAGACAGAACCCUGCUCCAUAGAGAUGAUAUAACCCGGCAGGGGGAGAGAGUGGAAUCUGACGGACAUCUAAAAGCCUGCUGGGAAUGUGAUCAUACUGGACAUUUUUGACAACUGCCCAGACCAGGGAUGGCUCUGGCUGGAGAUGUGGUAGGGGGCCCCAGCCCAGGCAAUGUGAAAGUGGUGGCUUUCUACAGUGUGAUUUUUGUGGAUGAUGGAGAGAGUUAAUUGUUAGUUUUAAUUUUAACCCUUGUUGACCUUAUAGAC
Molecule: long non-coding RNA, 2022 nt
Filed under: Xyrichtys novacula (pearly razorfish)
Lineage: Eukaryota; Metazoa; Chordata; Actinopteri; Labriformes; Labridae
Source: RNAcentral